Molecule: transfer RNA, 71 nt
Filed under: Gammaproteobacteria bacterium
Lineage: Bacteria; Pseudomonadati; Pseudomonadota; Gammaproteobacteria
Description: tRNA-Gly
Rfam family: tRNA
About the family: Transfer RNA (tRNA) molecules are approximately 80 nucleotides in length. Their secondary structure includes four short double-helical elements and three loops (D, anti-codon, and T loops). Further hydrogen bonds mediate the characteristic L-shaped molecular structure. tRNAs have two regions of fundamental functional importance: the anti-codon, which is responsible for specific mRNA codon recognition, and the 3' end, to which the tRNAs corresponding amino acid is attached (by aminoacyl-tRNA synthetases). tRNAs cope with the degeneracy of the genetic code in two manners: having more than one tRNA (with a specific anti-codon) for a particular amino acid; and 'wobble' base-pairing, i.e. permitting non-standard base-pairing at the 3rd anti-codon position.
Source: RNAcentral
GCGGGUAUAGUUCAAUGGUAGAACUUCAGCCUUCCAAGCUGAUAAUGCGGGUUCGAUUCCCGCUACCCGCU